This is a long non-coding RNA of Stegodyphus dumicola, 986 nucleotides long. The record is from RefSeq and is a predicted model, not a curated record. Lineage: Eukaryota; Metazoa; Arthropoda; Arachnida; Araneae; Eresidae.
AACAAAUCUAGUUUCUGAAGAUGGCUGCCCGGACAGUAUAAAUGGUUAGGAAGGCUGGCUGCAAUACCGAAGGACCUGGUUUCGAAUACCGGAGAAGGUAUGGAUGUAAACUGUGUGUCCCCUCAUCAGAGGCCUGCAUUCAGAAAUGUUCCGUCCCGUUUAAUUGGAAACCUCUUAUGACAGUGGGCAGGUAUGCAGCCUAUAAAACAUAUUAUCUGAACUUAAACAAUGUAAAAGUUCACUUUUUCACCAAAUACAACAUUCAUCUUCAAACUUUAGAUGAAGGAAUUGCUGAAGUUAUGAAGAGGUCUUAUUACAAGCAACUUGCAAGAGUUGGAUUUUGUGCAAUUGAAAAGAAGACAGAAAUGCAAACGUAAGUCUGUUUGAUGCAGUCAAAGCUAUCGGUACACCCUCAAAGUCCAUGUCAUCACAAUGCAUACAGAACUGCUUCAGCAGCUUGGAGACAAAGACAAAUAUCCUGUUGAUUUAAUUUUAAGAAAUGAAAUAGUCUAUAAGACAUUGAAAAUCUCAGUGUUAGUUCUGAGUAGGUUAUUAGUGCGGAUGAAAAUAUUGCUGUGUGUGCUUCAGUGGAAAGUACAAGCAGUUGUGCCUCAGGUGCAAGAAAUGUCAUCAGAAGAAAGUGUGAAGGACAAGUACCAUUUUACUUACCAAGAAAUGUGAAAUGCUCUGAACACUAGAUUAUUUCGCUGCAGCAUCCAAAUAGACCACAAGUUUUAGGAAGCCAAGAAUAUUGCUGGAACUUACCAGGCAUUUUUGUUCUCUUCUGCAACAAUGCCAUAUACCAGAAUUUUUCACCAGAAAUGAACUGCAAGUGCAUCUUUUCAAGUUACAGUGCAGUAAUUAAUGUACUGUAGAGUUUUCUAUGACAACAUGCAUAAUAUGUACUUAUGUAACUGUAUACUGAAAAUGAUUUGUGUCAGAAAAAGCAUUUCAAAAAUAAAGUUUGAGUCUCCAGUUAAAAUGAA